GUUGUGGUUAAAAAGCUCGUAGUUGGAUCUCGGCGGACUGAGGGCGGUUUGCUUGCUAGUAUUACUGCCCUAUAGUCCGUAGUUUUGCCAGAGGUUUCGGGGUGCUCUUAAUCGAGUGUCCCGGGAUGCUGGCAGGUUUACUUUGAAAAAAUUAGAGUGCUCAAAGCAGGCUAUUACGCCUGAAUAUUCGUGCAUGGAAUAAUAGAAUAGGAAGUCGUUUCUAUUUUGUUGGUUUUCGGAAAUCGACUUAAUGAUUAAUAGGGACAGUCGGGGGCAUUUGUAUUCAAACGACAGAGGUGAAAUUCUUGGACCGUUUGAAGACAAACUACUGCGAAAGCAUUCGCCAGGAAUGUUUUCAUUAAUCAAGAACGAAAGUUAAAGGUUCGAAGGCGAUUAGAUACCGCCCUAGUUUUAACCAUAAACGAUGCCAGCUAGCGAUCUGCGGACGUUUUUUUUGUAAGACUCCGCAGGAAGCUUCCGGGAAACCAAAGCAUUUGGGUUCCCAGGGGAAGUAUGGUUGCAAAGCCUGAAACUUAAAGGGAAUUGACGGAA
RNAcentral lists this ribosomal RNA (552 nucleotides) under uncultured marine eukaryote. Its description in RNAcentral is "SSU rRNA". It matches the Rfam family "Eukaryotic small subunit ribosomal RNA", at positions 612 to 1161 of the family's 1831-position model. The record is from RNAcentral.